UGAUUGUGGGAGAGCAUUUCAU
RNAcentral lists this microRNA (22 nucleotides) under Glycine max (soybean). RNAcentral's name for it is "gma-miR10196". The record is from miRBase by way of RNAcentral. Lineage: Eukaryota; Viridiplantae; Streptophyta; Magnoliopsida; Fabales; Fabaceae.